RNAcentral lists this ribosomal RNA (494 nucleotides) under uncultured bacterium. RNAcentral describes it as "partial 16S ribosomal RNA". It matches the Rfam family "Bacterial small subunit ribosomal RNA", at positions 28 to 506 of the family's 1533-position model. The record is from RNAcentral.
GACGAACGCUGGCGGCGUGCCUAAUACAUGCAAGUAGAACGCUGAAGGAGGAGCUUGCUUCUCUUGAUGAGUUGCGAACGGGUGAGUAACGCGUAGGUAACCUGCCUGGUAUCGUGGGAUAACUAUUGGAAACGAUAGCUAAUACCGCAUAAUAUUAGAUGUCGCAUGACAUUUGCUUAAAAGGUGCACUUUCAUCACUACCAGAUGGACCUGCGUUGUAUUAGCUAGUUGGUGAGGUAACGGCUCACCAAGGCAACGAUACAUAGCCGACCUGAGAGGGUGAUCGGCCACACUGGAACUGAGACACGGCCCAGACUCCUACGGGAGGCAGCAGUAGGGAAUCUUCGGCAAUGGGCGGAAGUCUGACCGAGCCACGCCGCGUGAGUGAAGAAGGUUUUCGGAUCGUAAAGCUCUGUUGUAAGAGAAGAACGAGUGUGAGAGUGGAAAGUGCACACUGUGACGGUAUCUUACCAGAAAGGGACGGCUAACUACGU